AAGGGCACCACAAGAACGCGUGGAGCAUGUGGCUUAAUUUGACUCAACGCGGGAAAUCUUACCGGGUCCGGACACACUGAGGAUUGACAGGUUUUAUCCAUUUACCUUUGGGUAUUUGGUGUCAAAAAUGCUAGUCCUUUCAUGAUUAUGUGAUAGGUGGUGCAUGGCCGUUCUUAGUUCGUGGAGUGAUCUGUCUGCUUAAUUGCGUUUCACUACGAAUCUACAUUAAACGUAUGUUUGUGAGAUGAACUGAUCCCUCCUUUGUUGGAGUCGUGCGUCUUUUCAUCGCCAUCACAUCAUACAACGUAGAUUCUGAAAGCAACGAACGUGACCGCAACCUUCUUGUUGCCUUGUAUAACCAUAACAUAUUUGCACUUCUGUGCUUGGUGUAUAAACAGGCCUUAUAUUAAUAAACUAGAGGGACCGCUGUUACUUUCUUAAACCAGAGGAAGGUUGCCGGCAAUAACCAGGUCUUGUAAUGCCCCUUAAAAUGUUCCGGGCUGCACACGGUGCUACAAUGAUUAUUGCAGUGAGCAUCUCAUAUUUAUACAUCACUUGCAUGAGCAUUUUAACCUCCGGGUUAUUAUGUCUCUAUGCGUGAUAAAGCCUGCUUCGAAAGUAAGUGGGUAAUCAAUUAGAAGUAAUGAUUUCCUUUAUAUGCACAUUUAUGUUUGGCACUGGGCCCCAGUGCUAGCUCUUAUGUUGGUACUUGUGUGCGUCUAGUGGACCUCUUUUGGUCUCUAACCAUUCGUGCAAUUGUCAAUUCAUGGUGGGGACAGACCAUUGUUAAUUGUUGGUCUCGGUCUUAACUAGGAAUGCCUUGUACGGGUCUUUGGUUCAACAAACCACCCGGAAUACGUCCCUGCCCUUUGUACACACCGCCCGUCGCUCUUACCGAUGGAUUUCUCUGUGAGUUUGAAGGACUGGCCUUUUGUCGCUAUGGAAAUUCAAACGAUCAGUGUGAUCUAAAGGAAAGAGAAGUCGUAACAAGGCAUCGGUAGGUGAACCUGCAGAAGGAUCA
RNAcentral lists this ribosomal RNA (1021 nucleotides) under Glabratella milletti. RNAcentral describes it as "SSU rRNA". It matches the Rfam family "Eukaryotic small subunit ribosomal RNA", at positions 1160 to 1828 of the family's 1831-position model. The record is from RNAcentral. Lineage: Eukaryota; Foraminifera; Rotaliida; Glabratellidae.